AGGCAGAAUUUAUUAUAAAUUUGUCAGAAAUCCACUGUCAAGGUUAAAAGAAGAGACAGGUGUUUUGCUAAGGCACUCUGCUGUGCAGUGAAGUUACCAACAAAUAAGAGUCCAGGGAAGCUUUAGGCUCCUUGAUGCUGUUGACCAUUAAAGACUAAAAAGCGGGAUCUGGAAAAGGUGACUGCAAAGCAAAAGCAAAGCCAGAAGAGGCCAUGAUGAGGCAGAUGAUGGGUUCCAGUGGCCACUAUGAGGCCAAAGAUGGGCCAGAAGAGGCCAUCAUGAGAAAGGAGCUGGUAUAACUGAGACAACUGUGAGACAGGAGCUGGGACUUGGGAGGCAGAUGUGAGGAAAGAGAUGAGCCAGGUGAGGA
This 370-nucleotide long non-coding RNA is filed under the name Homo sapiens (human). RNAcentral describes it as "HSALNT0123484". The record is from RNAcentral. Lineage: Eukaryota; Metazoa; Chordata; Mammalia; Primates; Hominidae.